RNAcentral lists this ribosomal RNA (497 nucleotides) under uncultured bacterium. RNAcentral's name for it is "partial 16S ribosomal RNA". It matches the Rfam family "Bacterial small subunit ribosomal RNA", at positions 28 to 507 of the family's 1533-position model. The record is from RNAcentral.
GAUGAACGCUGGCGGCGUGCCUAAUACAUGCAAGUCGAGCGAACGGACGAGAAGCUUGCUUCUCUGAUGUUAGCGGCGGACGGGUGAGUAACACGUGGAUAACCUACCUAUAAGACUGGGAUAACUUCGGGAAACCGUAGCUAAUACCGGAUAAUAUUUUGAACCGCAUGGUUCAAAAGUGAAAGACGGUCUUGCUGUCACUUAUAGAUGGAUCCGCGCUGCAUUAGCUAGUUGGUAAGGUAACGGCUUACCAAGGCAACGAUGCAUAGCCGACCUGAGAGGGUGAUCGGCCACACUGGAACUGAGACACGGUCCAGACUCCUACGGGAGGCAGCAGUAGGGAAGCUUCCGCAAUGGGCGAAAGCCUGGCGGAGCAACGCCACAUGAGUGGUGAAAGUCUUCGGAUCGUGAAACUCUGUUAUUAGGGAAGAACGUAUGUGUAAGUGACUGUGCGCAUCUUGACGGUACCUAGUCAGAAAGCCACGGCUAACUACGUG